Molecule: ribosomal RNA, 257 nt
Filed under: uncultured bacterium
Lineage: Bacteria
Description: partial 16S ribosomal RNA
Rfam family: Bacterial small subunit ribosomal RNA
Source: RNAcentral
UACGGGGGGGAGCAAGCGUUUGUUCGGAUUUACUGGGCGUAAAGAGCUCGUAGGCGGUCUGUCGCGUCGGUCGUGAAAACUUGGGGCUUAACCCUGAGCUUGCGGUCGAUACGGGCAUGACUGGAGUUCGGUAGGGGAGACUGGAAUUCCUGGUGUAGCGGUGAAAUGCGCAGAUAUCAGGAGGAACACCGAUGGCGAAGGCAGGUCUCUGGGCCGAUACUGACGCUGAGGAGCGAAAGCCGUGGGGAGCGAACAGG